CAGUAGCCGCGGGAAUACGUAGGUGGCAAGCGUUGUCCGGAAUUAUUGGGCGUAAAGGGCUCGCAGGCGGUUUCUUAAGUCUGAUGUGAAAGCCCCCGGCUCAACCGGGGAGGGUCAUUGGAAACUGGGAAACUUGAGUGCAGAAGAGGAGAGUGGAAUUCCACGUGUAGCGGUGAAAUGCGUAGAGAUGUGGAGGAACACCAGUGGCGAAGGCGACUCUCUGGUCUGUAACUGGCGCUGAGGAGCGAAAGCGUGGGGAGCGAACAGGAUUAGAUACCCGGGUAGUCCCUGUCUCUUAUAC
This 301-nucleotide ribosomal RNA is filed under the name uncultured bacterium. RNAcentral describes it as "partial 16S ribosomal RNA". It matches the Rfam family "Bacterial small subunit ribosomal RNA", at positions 509 to 807 of the family's 1533-position model. The record is from RNAcentral.